GACGAACGCUGGCGGCGUGCCUAAUACAUGCAAGUCGAGCGCAGGAAGCUGACGGAACUCUUCGGAGGGAAGGCAGUGGAAUGAGCGGCGGACGGGUGAGUAACAUGUAAGGAACCUGCCUCAAGGAUUGGGAUAACUCCGAGAAAUCGGAGCUAAUACCGGAUAGUUCAACGGACCGCAUGGUCCGCUGAUGAAAGGCGCUCCGGCGUCACCUUGAGAUGGCCUUGCGGUGCAUUAGCUAGUUGGUGGGGUAACGGCCCACCAAGGCGACGAUGCAUAGCCGACCUGAGAGGGUGAUCGGCCACACUGGGACUGAGACACGGCCCAGACUCCUACGGGAGGCAGCAGUAGGGAAUCUUCCACAACGGACGAAAGUCUGAUGGAGCAACGCCGCGUGAGUGAUGAAGGUUUUCGGAUCGUAAAACUCUGUUGUAAGGGAAGAACACGUACGAGAGGAAAUGCUCGUACCUUGACGGUACCUUACGAGAAAGCCACGGCUAACUACGUGCCAGCCGCCGCAGUAA
This 524-nucleotide ribosomal RNA is filed under the name uncultured bacterium. Its description in RNAcentral is "partial 16S ribosomal RNA". It matches the Rfam family "Bacterial small subunit ribosomal RNA", at positions 28 to 523 of the family's 1533-position model. The record is from RNAcentral.